GUCUCUGUGGUGCAAUGGGUCAGCAUGUUUGGCUGUUAACUGAAAGGUUGGUGGUUCGAGCCCACCCAGGGGCG
Molecule: non-coding RNA, 74 nt
Organism: Chrysemys picta bellii (western painted turtle)
Lineage: Eukaryota; Metazoa; Chordata; Testudines; Emydidae
Source: the annotation of a RefSeq genome assembly